This 301-nucleotide ribosomal RNA is filed under the name uncultured bacterium. Its description in RNAcentral is "partial 16S ribosomal RNA". It matches the Rfam family "Bacterial small subunit ribosomal RNA", at positions 509 to 809 of the family's 1533-position model. The record is from RNAcentral.
CAGCAGCCGCGGGAAUACGGAGGAUCCAAGCGUUAUCCGGAAUCAUUGGGUUUAAAGGGUCCGUAGGCGGUCUUGUAAGUCAGUGGUGAAAGCCCAUCGCUCAACGGUGGAACGGCCAUUGAUACUGCAGGACUUGAAUUAUUGGGAAGUAACUAGAAUAUGUAGUGUAGCGGUGAAAUGCUUAGAGAUUACAUGGAAUACCAAUUGCGAAGGCAGGUUACUACCAAUUGAUUGACGCUGAUGGACGAAAGCGUGGGUAGCGAACAGGAUUAGAUACCCCUGUAGUCCCUGUCUCUUAUAA